RNAcentral lists this ribosomal RNA (494 nucleotides) under uncultured bacterium. Its description in RNAcentral is "bacterial SSU rRNA". It matches the Rfam family "Bacterial small subunit ribosomal RNA", at positions 27 to 507 of the family's 1533-position model. The record is from RNAcentral.
AGGGAUGAACGCUAGCUACAGGCUUAACACAUGCAAGUCGAGGGGCAUCAGUUUGGUUUGCUUGCAAACCAAGCUGGCGACCGGCGCACGGGUGAGUAACACGUAUCCAACCUGCCUCAUACUCGGGGAUAGCCUUUCGAAAGAAAAGAUUAAUAUCCGAUAGCAUAUAUUUCCCGCAUGGGUUUUAUAUUAAAGAAAUUCGGUAUGAGAUGGGGAUGCGUUCCAUUAGUUUGUUGGGGGGGUAACGGCCCACCAAGACUACGAUGGAUAGGGGUUCUGAGAGGAAGGUCCCCCACAUUGGAACUGAGACACGGUCCAAACUCCUACGGGAGGCAGCAGUGAGGAAUAUUGGUCAAUGGACGCGAGUCUGAACCAGCCAAGUAGCGUGAAGGAUGACUGCCCUAUGGGUUGUAAACUUCUUUUAUAUGGGAAUAAAGUUGUCCACGUGUGGAUUUUUGUAUGUACCAUAUGAAUAAGGAUCGGCUAACUCCGUG